CAUCCCGACUUACCAACCCGAUGCAAACUGCGAAUACCGGAGAAUGUUAUUACGGGAGACACACGGCGGGUGCUAACGUCCGUCGUGAAGAGGGAAACAACCCAGACCGCCAGCUAAGGUCCCAAAGUCAUGGUUAAGUGGGAAACGAUGUGGGAAGGCCCAGACAGCCAGGAUGUUGGCUUAGAAGCAGCCAUCAUUUAAAGAAAGCGUAAUAGCUCACUGGUCGAGUCGGCCUGCGCGGAAGAUGUAACGGGGCUAAACCAUGCACCGAAGCUGCGGCAGCGACGCUUAUGCGUUGUUGGGUAGGGGAGCGUUCUGUAAGCCUGUGAAGGUGUGCUGUGAGGUAUGCUGGAGGUAUCAGAAGUGCGAAUGCUGACAUAAGUAACGAUAAAGCGGGUGAAAAGCCCGCUCGCCGGAAGACCAAGGGUUCCUGUCCAACGUUAAUCGGGGCAGGGUGAGUCGACCCCUAAGGCGAGGCCGAAAGGCGUAGUCGAUGGGAAACAGGUUAAUAUUCCUGUACUUGGUGUUACUGCGAAGGGGGGACGGAGAAGGCUAUGUUGGCCGGGCGACGGUUGUCCCGGUUUAAGCGUGUAGGCUGGUUUUCCAGGCAAAUCCGGAAAAUCAAGGCCGAGGCGUGAUGACGAGGCACUACGGUGCUGAAGCAACAAAUGCCCUGCUUCCAGGAAAAGCCUCUAAGCAUCAGGUAACAUCAAAUCGUACCCCAAACCGACACAGGUGGUCAGGUAGAGAAUACCAAGGCGCUUGAGAGAACUCGGGUGAAGGAACUAGGCAAAAUGGUGCCGUAACUUCGGGAGAAGGCACGCUGAUACGUAGGUGAAGCGACUUGCUCGUGGAGCUGAAAUCAGUCGAAGAUACCAGCUGGCUGCAACUGUUUAUUAAAAACACAGCACUGUGCAAACACGAAAGUGGACGUAUACGGUGUGACGCCUGCCCGGUGCCGGAAGGUUAAUUGAUGGGGUUAGCGCAAGCGAAGCUCUUGAUCGAAGCCCCGGUAAACGGCGGCCGUAACUAUAACGGUCCUAAGGUAGCGAAAUUCCUUGUCGGGUAAGUUCCGACCUGCACGAAUGGCGUAAUGAUGGCCAGGCUGUCUCCACCCGAGACUCAGUGAAAUUGAACUCGCUGUGAAGAUGCAGUGUACCCGCGGCAAGACGGAAAGACCCCGUGAACCUUUACUAUAGCUUGACACUGAACAUUGAGCCUUGAUGUGUAGGAUAGGUGGGAGGCUUUGAAGUGUGGACGCCAGUCUGCAUGGAGCCGACCUUGAAAUACCACCCUUUAAUGUUUGAUGUUCUAACGUGGACCCGUGAUCCGGGUUGCGGACAGUGUCUGGUGGGUAGUUUGACUGGGGCGGUCUCCUCCUAAAGAGUAACGGAGGAGCACGAAGGUUGGCUAAUCCUGGUCGGACAUCAGGAGGUUAGUGCAAUGGCAUAAGCCAGCUUGACUGCGAGCGUGACGGCGCGAGCAGGUGCGAAAGCAGGUCAUAGUGAUCCGGUGGUUCUGAAUGGAAGGGCCAUCGCUCAACGGAUAAAAGGUACUCCGGGGAUAACAGGCUGAUACCGCCCAAGAGUUCAUAUCGACGGCGGUGUUUGGCACCUCGAUGUCGGCUCAUCACAUCCUGGGGCUGAAGUAGGUCCCAAGGGUAUGGCUGUUCGCCAUUUAAAGUGGUACGCGAGCUGGGUUUAGAACGUCGUGAGACAGUUCGGUCCCUAUCUGCCGUGGGCGCUGGAGAACUGAGGGGGGCUGCUCCUAGUACGAGAGGACCGGAGUGGACGCAUCACUGGUGUUCGGGUUGUCAUGCCAAUGGCACUGCCCGGUAGCUAAAUGCGGAAGAGAUAAGUGCUGAAAGCAUCUAAGCACGAAACUUGCCCCGAGAUGAGUUCUCCCUGACCCUUUAAGGGUCCUGAAGGAACGUUGAAGACGACGACGUUGAUAGGCCGGGUGUGUAAGCGCAGCGAUGCGUUGAGCUAACCGGUACUAAUGAACCGUGAGGCUUAACCUUACAACGCCGAAG
RNAcentral lists this ribosomal RNA (2032 nucleotides) under Escherichia coli. Its description in RNAcentral is "partial 23S ribosomal RNA". It matches the Rfam family "Bacterial large subunit ribosomal RNA", at positions 928 to 2925 of the family's 2925-position model. Lineage: Bacteria; Pseudomonadati; Pseudomonadota; Gammaproteobacteria; Enterobacterales; Enterobacteriaceae. The record is from RNAcentral.